GAUGAAGAACGCAGCGAAAUGCGAUACUUGGUGUGAAUUGCAGAAUCCCGUGAACCAUCGAGUCUUUGAACGCAAGUUGCGCCCGAAGCCACUAGGCCGAGGGCACGCCUGCCUGGGCGUCACACGCCGUUGCCCCCCCAUCUACUCCUUCGGGAUUGCGGGGGGCGGAUGAUGGCCUCCCGUGCGCCUAGCCGCGCGGUUGGCAUAAAUACCAAGUCCUCGGCGACGCACGCCACGACAAUCGGUGGUUGCGAAACCUCGGUUGCCCGUCGUGUGCGUUCGUCGCGCAUCGAGGGCUCGAAAAAAUGCUCGGCUCCGGCUGGGCUUUCAACGCGACCCCAGGUCAGGCGGGGUUACCCGCUGAAUUUAAGCAUAUCAAUAGCGGAGGA
RNAcentral lists this unclassified non-coding RNA (389 nucleotides) under soil metagenome. RNAcentral describes it as "partial contains 5.8S ribosomal RNA, internal transcribed spacer 2, and large subunit ribosomal RNA". The stretch from base 1 to 122 matches the Rfam family "5.8S ribosomal RNA", at positions 35 to 154 of the family's 154-position model. The record is from RNAcentral.